UACGGGAGUGGCAAGCGUUAUCCGGAAUUAUUGGGCGUAAAGCGUCCGCAGGCGGUCUUGUAAGUCUGUUGUUAAAGCGUGGAGCUUAACUCCAUUUGAGCAAUGGAAACUGCAAGACUAGAGUGUGGUAGGGGCAGAGGGAAUUCCCGGUGUAGCGGUGAAAUGCGUAGAUAUCGGGAAGAACACCAGUGGCGAAGGCGCUCUGCUGGGCCAUAACUGACGCUCAUGGACGAAAGCCAGGGGAGCGAAAGGGAUUAGAUACCCCUGUAGUCCUGGCCGUAAACGAUGAACACUAGGUGUCGGGGGAAUCGACCCCCUCGGUGUCGUAGCCAACGCGUUAAGUGUUCCGCCUGGGGAGUACGCACGCAAGUGUGAAACUCAAAGGAAUUGACGGGGGCCCGCACAAGCGGUGGAGUAUGUGGUUUAAUUCGAUGCAACGCGAAGAACCUUACCAGGGUUUGACAUCCUGCGAAUCUUUUGGAAACAGAAGAGUGCCUUCGGGAACGCAGUGACAGGUGGUGCAUGGCUGUCGUCAGCUCGUGUCGUGAGAUGUUGGGUUAAGUCCCGCAACGAGCGCAACCCACGUCGUUAGUUGCCAGCAUUGAGUUGGGCACUCUAGCGAGACCGCCGGUGAUAAACCGGAGGAAGGUGUGGAUGACGUCAAGUCAUCAUGCCCCUUACAUCCUGGGCUACACACGUACUACAAUGCUACGGACAAAGGGCAGCAAACUCGCGAGAGCUAGCAAAUCCCAUAAACCGUGGCUCAGUUCAGAUCGUAGGCUGCAACUCGCCUACGUGAAGGAGGAAUCGCUAGUAAUCGCAGGUCAGCAUACUGCGGUGAAUACGUUCCCGGGCCU
RNAcentral lists this ribosomal RNA (857 nucleotides) under uncultured bacterium. Its description in RNAcentral is "SSU rRNA". It matches the Rfam family "Bacterial small subunit ribosomal RNA", at positions 524 to 1381 of the family's 1533-position model. The record is from RNAcentral.